GGGCAUUUUUCCAAAGGAAGGGAAAUCUCAUGGUUUCAGUUUUAAGAAUAGAACCUGAAUGAUUGCAUUGUUGUGAGGAGAGGCACAGUCUGGGAGCCACAUGUCUUAAAGACUGGAAUUGAUUCUUUUCUGCUUUCCAUGAGCCAAAUACUCUGUUAAUCUGUUCUUGGUAAUUCCAGGCUUUCCUACUACAUUAACCAAAUCAAGAAUAAGAAAGAAACCAAACUUUCAGUAAACCAAAGCAUCCAGUAACAAACAAAGCAUCCAGUAAACUACCUUUAGAUAGAUACUGCUUAUGAAACUGGUUUUUAGAAGGUACCAGGAUGGGACACUGUGCCUUUAAGGUUCUCUUCACUGAAAUAGAAGUGAUGCUGGCUCUCUGCCUUAGCAGGCUUUUUGGGCAUAGGCUCUGCUGAAUCAAACAAGACCUCACAUGCAAUUGCUUUAGAUGCCCACACCUACCCUCAGCUCUGGGUGACAGCUGACAACACCAUUUCCACAAGAGACUUUCCAGAGAAGUAACUUACGGUUUCCUGGGCCUUUGAUUUUUUUUUUUUUAUUUUUUUUUUUUCCCUUUUUUAUGGACAUGUGAUAGCGAAAGCAGAUACGUGAUUUCCAAAGGAUCUGAAUAAAAGUUCUCUUUACUUCAGAUGUAGGGCCAAAGAAACCUCUAUGUAUUGUUCCCACCUCAUUUCUUCAUCCUUCUUGAAAACUCUGGUUUAGGCUGGUUUUGGUAGCUGGUGUUACUCACCAACAGCUUUGCUUCAAAUAAAGUUUUAUUCUCUUGAGAAAGUAGUUUACCACUUUGUCAUCUGCAAUUAAAAGGAUGAUUGAAUCUUUAUCUUAUAAGGACGAGUCAUGUAUCAGUGUUCUCUUGGGAUUUAGAUGCAGUUAUGCAUGCUCUGAUGAAUCUGUGAGGAGAACUUACCACUUGCCUCCUCUUUCUGUCCAGGCUGCCUUUCUGUUGCUGGUACCUGCCCCCCAAACAUGGGCCCAUGUCUCAGUUAACUUCUUACAGUCUGUUACGUUUUCAGAUUGAUCAGGCUAAUACAAGUUUGUACUCAUCUUCUCAGAUGUGUUAGCUCAGUUUAAGCUAAUACAUGGCAUUCCAGAGUAUACCAGCCUUGUUCAACUGAAUUUACAAUGAUGAAGGUAACUUUGUAAAAAGUAGAUGGCAUACUGGAGAGAUCAAUGUCUCAGACUGUCCUAUCAAGGCAUCUAGGUGACAUCUGUCAGCACACUCGGGCUCUAAGACUGAGCAAACACUGUCAUUCUUUUCCUCCUGUUCUGGGGAUUUGAAUUUGGUCCCAGCCCUUUCAGACAAUUUGGAUUGGUUUUUCGAUCCCUUUUCCCUAAGGCAUUUGUGUUUGAAAGAGUCACCAAAUUUUAAAAACAAUCCUUUCUGGGCUAGUACAGCUACAAACAUUCAGUGCCACAUCGAGUGUGGCACAGUGAAAGAUCAAUCCUACAGCAUCAACAAGAAAAUGGUAAAUGUUUUAAUGCAAAUAUUCAAGAAUUAUGUGUCUGGACUCCAGACUAGCUUAUCUUUCCAAGGGAAGAGUUAAACUACUCCUUUGUGAGCUCAGUUCACUCUGGCAAUGGCACUUCACUGGCUCCUUUCUGCAGCAGCACAGUAGAGCCUUUUGUAAUGCUCUCAAUGGCAAUACUUGUAAACUGUUUUCUUCCUGAAGUGUUUUUUACUGUUUUGGUUUUUUUUUGGGGGGGUAUAAUUAUAUUUGGCCUUUAAUAAUGCUGCUUUCAAAUAAACCCCGCAAAACCAUAGAUAAUAACUAAGGAUUUGUUAAGAUAGAUGCUGUUCCAACAUUUUUCGGUGGGAUAUGGUAUAACCUUGUGUCAAAAUAGGUUUGAUUCCAGGACUGUUGAGUACUGAAUGAAAUCUGUGAACACUGGCUAAUAAAUUACUAAAGAC
Molecule: long non-coding RNA, 1930 nt
Filed under: Strigops habroptila (Kakapo)
Lineage: Eukaryota; Metazoa; Chordata; Aves; Psittaciformes; Psittacidae
Description: lncRNA (ENSSHBG00005001909.1)
Source: RNAcentral